This is a long non-coding RNA of Sparus aurata (gilthead seabream), 2607 nucleotides long. Lineage: Eukaryota; Metazoa; Chordata; Actinopteri; Spariformes; Sparidae. The record is from Ensembl.
AUGUAUAAGUUUCUGGUACAAGAGCUUGAGAAGAAAAAGAAGCUAGACAAAGAUUUCGACAUCAUCUUUGUGGCGCACGGAGAAAUUGAUUCUUUCAUGUUCUCAGCCAACUACCUCAUGCCUCUGCCCUCCAUCAGAGAUGUGGUCCUGUAUUCUCCCUGGAACUGUGCUAUUAAUGCUGAUGUAGCGUACGGUGUUGCUACAGGAAGUAUACAGCCUCAUCACAGGGUCUUCUUCCGUAUUCCACAACAAGGCUGUCCAGUUCCUGAUUAUGUUGAUCCGCCGGACAAACUGCCCAAUGACUGGAACUCAAUGAGUGAAGCUGGAGGAUCGAGGAUCCCGAGGAUCCUUCUCAGCCCUCUGAAGGAUCCAAACCAGAAACCAGAGGUACCAGGGGAGAAACCAGGGGAUCCUGCAUGGAAUCAUGUUGUGUUUCUCCAAGAUAGACUUGGUGAACCUGGGAGAAAUCGUGUCCUCAUCCCGUUCACUCAUCAACCAUGGACUGAUUUCGCUAAAAAAAUUCAAUUCUUUGACAAAACGGGUUCCUUUGACAAAAUCCCAUUCUGGAUCGUCACUUUGGUUCUGUCAGUGGUGCUGGAAGUCUGCGGCUAUAGGGCCACCGUCCAUCUCGCUGCCUGUCUGGAUAGAUCUGAAGAAGAAUUCCUGAAUGAGGCUGAGCUGCAGUAUGGAUACACUAUCGACAACACAAUGAUGGGAUCGUCAGAGGAAAGGAUCCAAUCAGAGAAUAGAAAACCCAAAGUGCACGACGCCAUGUACAAAUUCUUUAAAGAUAUGUUUGGUUAGAGAUCUUCUGUGUUUGUGUCGUUUCAGUGUCCAAACUGAGCAAAACACAGUGUUGUGGGUGGAGUGAUGAAGAGUUAAUCAAUCAAUCAAUCAGUCUUUAUUUGUAAGGUGCCAGUUCACAACAGUAAUCUUGUGACACCUAUGUGUCAGUUUUAGCCUGCUAGCUAUUUUUAACAGUUCUUGUCCUUGUGAUUGAAAUUACUAUGAAAUAUUAAUAAUUAUAUGACUACAUUUAAAAGUUCAUAACAACUGAUAAAACAUGUUAUUCUUCAUUUAUCUGACUUAUUAUUACGUAGUGUUGUGUCGGAGUCUGUUUCCUGUGGCUUUGUCUGGUGUGUUGAUCAGAGAUGUGGUUUAAAGUUUCAGUCGGUAGAUUUUCCUCUUACAGAUCUUAUGGGGGCGUUCAGACCAAUCAUGAGGUGAAUCAUUCGUCAAAGAAAAGAUGCAAAUUCAUAAACAACAUUGGAGGCGAGGAUAAUAGUGGCUGUUUUCAGACACCCAGAGCUGUACAAUAAAACAUCUAAUCGUACUGAGACAGGACAAAAAAGGAGCUGGUGUGGAGGGAAAGUAAGCGAGGAAGUGAGACGACCUGGUAAGUCAUGGAUAUUUGUCUCAGCACAGCGUCGCUCUGAUCGAUCUGAACUCUUUUUUGGUUUUGGUUAAUUGUUUAAAUUGGUGUUUUUUGUGUGAUGACGUAAGAUAACUAUAUCAACCAGUCUUUUAUAUCUUAAUACUUUAAUAUCAGCUGUAAUAUCUUGUAUCAGAUUGCAGGUCUGUAUUUCUGACCUACAGAACGAUUGUGGAACAUUUGGUGUCACUGAGACGUUGUUUGUCUGUUGAUGGACGGCGUUGUUCUCGUGUCCAGUCUGGAUUACAUCACCACCUCGCUGAGUCCAUCAGACUGGCUCACUACAGACUUUUCUUUACUACUUUAAACAGUCAGAAUCACACUGUGGCCUGAUGGAGUCACUGUUCAUUGUUCAGCUUGAUUUGGUGUUCAUUCAGUUGGUGGCAGAGUCAUCCCUCACCAACCACACCUCCUGUCGUACUGAAGUCCUCCUGUUGAGUCUGGACUUUAAGUGUUAAAGGAAGUGUAACCUGAGGGCAGGUGGAACACAACGACCUGCAUGUGUUCUGACUGCACUGCUGCACUGUUGCACAGCAGGAUGUGAGGAACCUGCAGCACUUGUUGUUUAACAUGUGUCGCUCAAACUAUGUACGAGCUGUUUAACACCUUCCUGACAGUCUGCUGACACCUGAAUCUAUGCACCCAUUUUAUUUAAACUUCAUUGUUUGUACUUGUUCUACUUUCUAUCUAUAGUUUUAUCAAAAUGAAUUGUGGCCUUUAAGAUGAUGUGAAGGUUUAAGAGAGAGACUGAGAGGAAGAUCCAGGCUCUGUCUCUGGUCUUGGUCUUCUGUCUGAGCUGUUUCACCCUUUGACCUUGUUGGCUGUUGAUUUUAUACUCCUGUACUUAUACUUAUACCUUUAUACUUUUAUUUUCUGAUCUUCAAACCCCCAAAAACUGUAAAACCUGAAUAAAACUGGGUUGUAUGUUGUACAUCCCAACCAAAGUCUUUUUGUUGGCUCCUCUCUCUGACGUCAUGUGACCAGUUUAUUGUAUUAUUAAUUACAUUAAGAUAUUAAAAACAAGUCGGAGGACAUCAAGAAACAAAACAUUAAAGCAAGUUCAACAUAUAAAAAUAAGCUAUGAUAAAAAAAAGAAUAAUAAUAAGAGACAAGACAAUAAAAAAGUGCAGUUCUGAAUGCAGCUUUGACUCCCUGUGAUUGGCCGACAGUAGAGU